AUUGAGCGCUGGCGGAAUGCUUUACACAUGCAAGUCGAACGGCAGCACGGACUUCGGUCUGGUGGCGAGUGGCGAACGGGUGAGUAAUGUAUCGGAACGUGCCCAGUCGUGGGGGAUAACGUAGUGAAAAUUACGCUAAUACCGCAUACGAUCUAUGGAUGAAGGCGGGGGAUCGCAAGACCUCGCGCGAUUGGAGCGGCCGAUAUCAGAUUAGGUAGUUGGUGGGGUAAAGGCCCACCAAGCCAACGAUCUGUAGCUGGUCUGAGAGGACGACCAGCCACACUGGAACUGAGACACGGUCCAGACUCCUACGGGAGGCAGCAGUGGGGAAUUUUGGACAAUGGGCGAAAGCCUGAUCCAGCCAUUCCGCGUGCAGGAUGAAGGCCCUCGGGUUGUAAACUGCUUUUGUACAGAACGAAAAGGUUUCUACUAAUACUAGGAGCUCAUGACGGUACUGUAAGAAUAAGCACCGGCUAACUACGUGCCAGCAGCCGCCGUAA
This 500-nucleotide ribosomal RNA is filed under the name uncultured bacterium. RNAcentral describes it as "partial 16S ribosomal RNA". It matches the Rfam family "Bacterial small subunit ribosomal RNA", at positions 30 to 523 of the family's 1533-position model. The record is from RNAcentral.